Ricinus communis (castor bean) is the source of this 1453-nucleotide long non-coding RNA. RefSeq lists it as uncharacterized. The transcript is spliced from 2 exons. NCBI's taxonomy places the organism in Eukaryota, Viridiplantae, Streptophyta, Magnoliopsida, Malpighiales, Euphorbiaceae. The record is from RefSeq and is a predicted model, not a curated record.
CCCGGAUACAUUAAAUGGACCAUAUCCUCAUUUCUUAGUUGAAUGCAUCAGAUGUAAAGGUAAUGUGUAACUAAAUAAUGGCAGGAAAGCAAACUGUACAGGUAAGGAAGGUGAUCCACAACUUGAGCUCGUCGGGCUAGAGCAUCCCCAUGGUUGCUAUGAAAGCAAAAGCAGCCCCAGCAUACGCAACUGUGUUCAAGAUUUGCGCCGGAAGCUUUGUACUAGGUCUGCACAUCAAGAUACUGCUAAAUGAGGAAACAUAUCCAAGAAUAGUACUCCCGGCUGCAAAAUCUCGUAAGAUCUUUGUGUUGCGUGAGAGAGGAUGGUUGCCGUUACCAAGCCACGCUGUUAACAAAGUAACAAAUACUUGGGACGCAAUCAGAAGGGAUGAUUCAAUCAUCUUUGGGCGCAGCAUCACAAGUAACAAUAUGAGCGUGACAUGAGCGUGCGUGGAGGGUUUAUUUCUUGAUUUCGGUUGUCAAUUUCAUCUUUUAGCCUCUGUCCCGGGCGUGCCAUCUCUCCUGCGAUAGUUUCGGUGAUUCGAAUUGUUCAAUUCAGAGAGAAUCUUUGAAAAAGUUCUCUCCACUUUCCGUUUCUCUCUCUAAAAGUUAGGUUUGUUGCUCUGUUAUCGUACCAACCGGUUGGGUCUCUGUAAAGGAGUAGUUUUAGGUGGCUCUUGUCACCGAAAACUAACCCCAGGGUCCCUUGUUGUUAGUUUAUUUUAUGUUAUUCGUAUUAAUUUCAAUUAUUUCUUGUUAGUUUAUGUUGUUUUUGUGGAACAUCAGUCUUUCUUUUGUAUUUUGUGGGAUUGGUUUUCGUUGGCCAAGAUUUUAUGCGGUAAUGUCUGCGAUCUGGGCUUGCCUUGGCUCUAUGGAGUGUUAUGUUCUGACGAUACCAAUUCUAGAUAGAGGAUGGAAGUACGUAUGUGGUGAUUAUUGAUUUCAAGUAGUAUAAGGGAAGAUUUUUCAGCAACAUCAGUGGCUUCUUUCUUGAUAUGAAUAGGAAGGAUUCUGAAGCAGUCUUUAUGAUUAUAUAUAGCUCAUCUCCUUCUACUCUCCUUCAAUGACCCUUUAAUGGUUUGAUUAAUGCACUUCAAUUGAGAAGGCGGUCAUUUUGGCGUUGUUAUACUUAUAUUCAAGGCCAAUACACAGAAAGAAUGCAAUAGAUGGUGGCGCGUUUAUCUCAAUCGCGUUCCACGCGUGUUUUAGGCUGUCGGAGGAAGAUCUUAAAGGGUUUCAGAAUUUUCUCUUUGUUAUUGGGCCUAUGGGCCUGGGUUAGGACUAUGAGCCCAUUUAUUUAACUCCUUCGGGAGUUCGGCUUAGUUGGACCAUAAGCCCUUUUCAAGUUCUUGUUUGUAGGCUUGGUUUGCUUGUGUCCCUUGUACUCACUUCAUCUUUUGGAGUAUUAAUACAAGUUUCUUUUCCUUUUGACUAGAAAAAAACUUUUUCACUUC